This 151-nucleotide ribosomal RNA is filed under the name uncultured bacterium. RNAcentral's name for it is "partial 16S ribosomal RNA". It matches the Rfam family "Bacterial small subunit ribosomal RNA", at positions 375 to 524 of the family's 1533-position model. The record is from RNAcentral.
GCGCAGCCUGAUCCAGCCAUGCCGCGUGCAGGAUGAAGCAUCUAUGGUGUGUAAACUGCUUUUAUACAGGAAGAAACCCUGCCACGUGUGGUAGAUUGACGGUACUGUAGGAAUAAGGAUCGGCUAACUCCGUGCCAGCAGCCGCRGUAAU